CUGUGACUGAACUAUUUAAUUAUUAUUAAUGAUGAUGAUCGUUGCUGUUCAAAUGCAACAGCACUUGGGACAUUAAGUUGUACUUGACUUUGGGGCUGCAGGCAGGCCUCCGAGCCCUGGCCGACAGUAUGGGCUAAUUUGGGGCAUGUGUGACUGGAAAUGGACUGAUUCAUCCCUACACCCAGCCCUGAUCACAGCUCCCCUUUUUGUUGGCAGUAGACACUAUUUAUUUCAGUGGGCUUUUAAAUAAAAGGUAAUGGUGUACAUCUAUAUGGGGCAGAAAUCAAAAUCUGUAUGAGGGCAAGGUUUUUAUUAGGUCACCCAGAAUGUUUUGUGAGGACACUUCAGCUGGGCUCAUAAAGAUAUUGCCCUAAUAUGGUUUUUAGGAACCUGCUUCACAAAUUAUCCUCUUUCUAUGCUCCUCCCGAUGGAAACAUGCAGACGGGGACAGAUAUACCCCUGCUUUCAGUCGUUUACAUACAGUCUUCUCUUGUACAGUUGUUCCUUGGAAGUCGAACAAAAUCUGUUCCAGGAGUCCGUCCGACUUGCAAAACAUUCGGAAAUCAAGGUGUGGCUUCCGAUUGGCUGCGGGAAGCUCCUGCAGCCAAUCGGAAGCCGCGCCGGACGUUCGGGUUCCAAAGAAUGUCAGCAAACCGGAACACUCAUUUUUGGGUUUGCGGUGUUUGGGAGCCAAAACGUUUGACUCGCAAGACAUUCGUCAACCAAGGUACGACUGUAUAUUAUUUACUACAAAGCUCGAUGACUAAGCUCUUUAGCAACGAAAUGUUGGAUUACCAGAACGAAGUGUGAGCACUGAACCACUGGUAUAUCACAAGUGGACUCUUUAUUUACUGUGUUUGCUAUUGUUUAAGAUAAAACCUAUUUGGGAAACAAACUACCUUUGCCAUUUUUAUGGACUUUAAGUGUUUGUUUACAGAUAGUUGCUUUGGUGAUAGUAUCUUGUGUUGAUUGACGUAUGAGUCAGGCAUGAGCUGCAUGGCCCAAGCGAAGAAGGGGAGCCAGUGGCAGUUUAGCCUGUCCUGUUUGCCCCCCCUUCUGGAGAGCCAAACUUCUGUCCUCCUAGUGUGAGAGAGGCUUGGCCUUCGAGGAUAAUGUCAGGCUACAUUCACACAUUACAUUUAAAGCACUGUGACACCCCUUUAAACAGUCAAGGCUUCCCCCAAAGAAUUCUGGGAGCUGUAGUUUGUACAGGGUGCUGAGAGUUGUUAGGAGGCCCCUAUUCCCCUCGGGAUUAACAGUCAAACUCUCACAGGAAACUCUGGGAAUUGUAGCUCUGUCAGGGGAACGAGUUUCGCCAAACAACUCUCAGCACCCUUAACAAACCACAGCUCCCAUAAACCUUCGAGGGAAGCUAUGACUCAUUUAAAGGGGUAUUAUUGUGCUCUAAAUAUAUGGUGUGAAUGUGGUUUGUUUCUAAUUCCCCCCCCCAUCUUAAAUUCAUUUCUACAUCUGUUUGCAAUUUUUCUUGAAGUCCAUACAAAAAUUCACCAAUAUUUUAGUGUGCAGUUCUUCAAAACACACGUUUGUACAAAUUUUUGCCUAAAAGAAAAAUGUCGCAAACCAUUUCUCCUAAUAUCAUGCAUUGACAUUCAUAUUUUAUGCUCAGUUUCCCCAGAUAUGUGUACUGUGGUGCAUGUUAUACACAUUGGGGAAAAUCAGAUUUGUGCAGAUUUGAAAGGAGAGCUGCAUUUUAAUCUGCAUAUUGUUUUUGGACGUGCAAAUAAGGUAGAGUUGUGUCAAAUGUGAAGCGAAGCGAAUUUCUCCCUCCGUUCUGAAGUUGUCUCCCGCAUUCCUAGCGCCUAGCAUGUAUUCCGUCUCUGAAUUACGUUGACUGAUUUUAACUGAACUCUGUAUUCUGUCAAUUUAUUGUGGCUUUUCCUCCCCUUUGCAUUUUUACGCAAGUGUCAACUUGUCUUGUGAUCAAUUAACAUCAGGUGGUAUGCCUACAGCUUUCCUUGUGGUACAAAAACAUUUAGACUUGGCUACCACAGAAAAAAAAUAACACACAAGCUACGUGUUUCCAAAGGUGCAGUCUGGUGGGACUUCAUUUUGUAUAUUUCCAAUUCAGGUGUGUGAAAUUCUUUAUCUGCUCUGUGCUGUAAAAUUUAGUUAUCUUAAAACGCUGUGAUAUAAUCAGUCUGACACUAUGAACCUGCUGUGCCCCCUUUUAUCUAGUUUUUUAGGGAUUUUUUUAAAAAAAGAAUCAUAUAACAUGUACAUUACAUAUAAAAAGCGCAAAAAACACACAAACCCAUAUGAACACAUAUAAUACAAAACCAUUAGGAAGCAAAACUACUAUAAGGGUACCAGCAACUAAUGCUAAUAAAAAAGGGAGGAAAAAAUGGAAGGGCACCAGAAGGAGACAAAGGGCCAAAGAAAACAAGGCAAUUCAUCAUGUGAGUGUUCAUACAGGUCAAAAAAGGCUCCCAUGUGGUUGUAAAAUCUCCUGGUGCAGCAGAGCCCUUAGUGACUUAGAGGGCGUGAUGCUCUGCUUCUUUUUGUGUUGCUUUUCUUGUAUGUUUUGUUCUUUCUCAAUGAACUCUAAAACUGCAAAAAAGGUGGGAAGCACCAUUUUCAAAUAAAAAAAAACCAAAAUGAGUUGAUGACACCAACUGCUCCAAAGCUUGCCCUCCUGACUCAAGAGUUGCCUGCCCACGUGUGACCCACAACCACAAGCUGUCCCCCCCCCCACACUUCCUCUUCAUUAAAGCAUGUCCAGGCAUGUCCUCUCGAGCCUCGCUCAGUUCUCCUCUGGUCUCACUGGGGAAAAGCGCACAAAUCCAUAAUAAACAGGGGAGCAGCUGUUUCCACGGCCGUGAAUCAGAAGCCCUCACAACUCUUUAGCCGACGGAGGCAGGAGCUGGGUCAGGGCUGUUGGGGGGUGGUGGGGUGCAACAAGAUGGUGCUACUGUGCGGUGGGAGGGAGAACUAGUCAGUGGUAGAACACCACUUUCAGUUGUGAUGCAGGAAGAGGUGCUGGGGCUCAGAUGAGUGCCCACCAUCUGCCAGGAAGAGGGACCCCGGAUCCUUAAUUCUAAGUCUUCACAGAGUGAAGGUGCUCAGAAGCAGGGCUAUAGUGAUCAGUUAUGAGGAGAUGCAGCUCGUCAUACCAGUCCUCAUAGCCACAUCCAAAGGGAAGUCCAAAAAUGCAGGCAGUUGGACAGAAUAACUAUCAUCUGUCUGUCUGUCUGUCUGUCUGUUUGUCUAUCUAUUGGUCCAGACAGCCUCAUCCUUCAUCUAAAGCUCCCCUACACCUUCAGAAGACCCAGAACUGCCUCCUAGAAUGCAUUUUUGUAAACACUGGUCAGAUAACUAUAUCGCGAAAUUCAGAUAAAUGCAAAUCGCAAAAGAUGGCUGUGUUUCGGUUCUCAUAAUGUUUCAGAAAGUACAAAUUUACUAGAUUCACCUUUAAAUGUUUGCUGCUGGGCCAGGUUCAAGGUGCUAGUCCUAACAUAUAAGACCCUAAGCAGCUUAAGACCAGGUUACUUGAGAGACCUCCUUAUCCUUUAUACACCCACUGCAUUGCUGUGCUCUGUGGAAAGGUUUCUCCUGACUCCUGCAAGUUCCUAAGAUCUCAGAAUCCCCCUUGGCAGUAAGUCAGAGAAGGGUUUUAGUGUGGCUGCCCAUGUGGAACAGUAUUCCAACUGAGAGAUGAACGAUGCCCACUUUCUAAUGUUGUACACUGCCCUGAGAUUUCUUGAUAAAGGGAGGUAUAUAAAUUGAAAAUAAUAAUAAUAAUAAUAAUAAUAAUAAUAAUAAUAAUAAUAUCAUCUUUACUUUCAGGAAACAGUUGAAGACAUUUCUGUUCCUACAUGCUUUCCUUGCAGGAUAAAUAGCAUGAGUGUCUACUUUGUAUGUUUUUCGUGUUGUUUUAAAUCUAUUUGCUGAUUUUGUGCUUUUCAGUGUUUUAAACUACCUUAUGCAUAAAUCACCUUGAGAUGGUUGUUUAGAAGAUGAUUAAUAAGUUGUAAUAAUAAUAAUAAUAAUAAUAAUAAUAAUAAUGUGAACUGAAUCAAAUUGCUCCCCUAUAUUUGCUCCCUUUCAGCAUUCUGCAUCUUGCUCCAUCGUUUGAGGCCUGGGCCAAGCAGUCACGAAGCCUCUACAUUUUCAUCACCCUGAGGAAGAAGAAAGAGUCAAAGACUACUCUGAAUUAGGACUCAGCAGGGAUGGAACUGUCACGCUCCUGCCGUUGCCUUUGCAUGUCCAUUCCCCCCACAAAUGUGUCCCCAGCGGGCAGAGAUUCAGCCGAAUCCAAUCGAUUAUCCGAAGAAAUUUGGAGCAACUUGUGAACACCUGCAACCGGC
Molecule: non-coding RNA, 4325 nt
Organism: Podarcis lilfordi (Lilford's wall lizard)
Lineage: Eukaryota; Metazoa; Chordata; Lepidosauria; Squamata; Lacertidae
Source: the annotation of a GenBank genome assembly